This is an RNA transcript of Dreissena polymorpha, 2954 nucleotides long. It is a transcript of the gene named heat shock 70 kDa protein 12A-like, with no coding region annotated. Lineage: Eukaryota; Metazoa; Mollusca; Bivalvia; Myida; Dreissenidae. The transcript has 14 exons. The record is from RefSeq and is a predicted model, not a curated record.
UAGCAAAACGCCCUUGAGCAAGUGAGCAAGGACAGUUCAGUUAACACAAGGAUUUCCUAAGACAAACAGCAAAUUUUGUAAAGGCAUUCAUGAAUGGAAAGAAAUAUAAGUCGUGAACAUUUUGGUUAGCAGAACUGUUUUCAAGAUUCGUCUGAAAGGAGCUACAUUGAUCUACUGAUUAAAGGCGAAUAUGUGGACCGCGUUCUUCGGGCUCUUCGUGACUUUCCUUACAUUAGAAUGUACACCCGUUUCCGGCAACGUCCAGGUCGUUAAAAGAAAGAAAACGGCCAUUGAAUGUUCCUCAAACUCUGAUAUCUCAUUCAAAUUUUAUAGCAACGUGUUAAAGAAGUCUUUAACGAUUGCAGAAUGUGAUUUUCACAGAAAAUCAUGUGCGUUAUUGACAACUCUUCAUACACAUGCAUACGAUAUUUCGUACACUGGGCGUGGUGGUAUCCUGGUGAUAAGAGAUAUAGAGGAAGAAAUCAUUGGAACUUAUCAAUGCUUUGACACGUAUAAUCCUCAGAAUUUAGUGAGCACGUACAUAACACCGUCGGAAUAUACAGCCACAAAGGACAAUAAUUUAAGUGUCCCAAUUAUUACUACUGAGCCACGGCUUCGGAAUGAAUCUGGGCAUAUCGUGUUAGGCGUCUUGAGGGAUAAGACCAUAGAAUGCUCUUCCAAUGUGGAUAUAACUUUUAGAUUUAUGCAUAAUACAGCAAACGCCUCAGUAACAUUUGCAGAAUGUGAUUUAUCGAAGAAAGCAUGCACUAUAUCGAAAGCAAGUUUUCACAACAAAUACAAUCUGUCUUACACAGGAAUCGGAGGAGUUUUGCAUAUCAACAGUCUGAACAAUGAAUCAUUUGGAACAUAUAUAUGUUGUGCAACGUAUAAUCCAAGUAUCUUCGUCAGUAUUGACAUGAUUGCACAUAUUAUGGAGUCAGCGGAUAACACUUAUAAUGUAACUGUACUGCGCGAGAAUAAUACAGAAAUCCAUUGGGAGAAAGGCGGAACACAUAACUCUUCACCAACAUUGACAAUUGCCCUUUCUAUAUGCGGUGCUCUAGUAAUUAUUGGACUCGUAUGCGGCAUAGUCUGGUGUAGGAGGAAAGCUUUCCUCUUCUUUUUCUCUGACCCAGAAAAUAUGGAAAUGUUUGCUCCAACCAAGUGUUCAAAUGCCACAGCUACAUAUCAGAAUGAAGAUACUACAAAUACUAGUUCAGAGACAGCAUCAAUAACAUCACCAUAUGUAUAUUAGGUACAAUCUACUUUCCUUAAACAAGAACAUGUCCAUUCUGUCAUCCAUUCCUCAUUGAUGACCACAAUCCGCGCCAUUACUGGAGGUAACUGACAAUACACCGAAUGGCGACAGCACACAUCCAAUUACACAACCUGAUGACUUGGACCAAUUUCUCACUGAUGCAGCGCAAGACGUUAGAGUUGUUGCUGCCAUCGAACUUGGUACAACACACAGUGGGUAUGCCUAUUCGUUCUCUAACGAUCCAAACAACGUGGUUAUCAACAAGAACUGGUUAUCUGGCGGCUUAUAUAGCUUUACAGCAACUAAAACUCCGACAAUUGUUCUUCUUGACAACAAUGGUGAAUUUCACUCAUUUGGAUACGAUGCGGAAGCACACUUUCUUUCGCUAGCGCAUGAAAAUAAGCACAGAGGCUGGAGAUUGUUCAGUCGUUUUAAAAUGGUACUGCAUGAUUACAAGAACUGUUCCGUCGAAACGACUAUUGAUGACAUAGAGGGCCACCCAUAUCCCGCGAUUAAAAUAUUUACCAUGGCACUACACUUUCUGAAAAGACAUCUCAUUGAAGCUUUAAAAUAUAAAUUACCGACAUUAAUUGAUACCAACAUACAGUACAUUGUAACUGUACCUGCGAUAUGGACUGUUGAGGCCAUUGCCUUCAUGAGGGAGUCUGCUGUUAAGGCUGGAAUAAAUAACGAACGUCUUAAAUUUGUUGUUGAUUCUGUUGCGGCGUCAAACUGGUGGACACGUUUAAACAACACAGACAGUCAAGACAUUACUUUACAAACGCCCGGGUCCAAAUUUUUGGUUGCAAAAAUAGGAGGUGCAACCGCAAGUAUAUUAGCAUCUCAAGUAUUAUCUGAAGGCAAAGUCAAAGUAAUACAUGAAGCGAGCGGGGGGCCUUGGGGUGCUACAAACGUCGAUCAGCAGUUUAUAAAUAACCUAAAGAAAAAUCUAGGAGCUAGAAAAUUUGACAAACUUCGUAGAAAGCACAUUGAAGAUUACUACGGACUUUUAAGAAAUAUUGAAAAAAAAAUCCGAUCAAAAUAUGUUUUGCGUGGCGAUGAUUGUGUUUUGGAUCUCCCGCAUUCACUCUCGCGGAAAGGCAAACAUAAAGUUAAAACAGCCAUGGUUAAAACAUGGUUUGAUUCGGAAAUUUUGAGUUUUAUUUCGCACAUUGAAACUCAAUUACAUGAAAAUCCCAGCUUAAGGGAGAUAACCAAUAUGAUUUUAGUCGACAGAUUUGCCGAAUCGUUGUAUGUUCAAAGCAAGUUUACGGAAGUAUUUAAAGAUCUAAAGCUGAGUGUUCCUCAAGAACCAGGAUUGGCAGUUCUGAAAGGAGCCGUUUUAUAUGGACACAACACUGAUACAUCAGAUUGAUAUCAUAUAAGGCAAACUAUUCUCAUCGAUAUUUUGGAUUUCAGGCAAUAUGAGGCUAGAUGUAUCACGCUCGCGAUAGAUAUAGCUGAUGCUUGUAUUUACUUCAUUAUACCGUUGUUCAGAACGGUACACAACUGUUUCUUUGUUUAACAUUCCACAAUUGAUUUUUAAUAUGUAAUUACAUUGAUGUAUCAUUCUCUUGUAUUGCUUUUUAAUAUAUAUAUAUAUAUAUAUAUAUAUAUAUAUAUAUAUAUAUAUAGUUUGUGGAAUGUACUGUAUUUGUGUAUGUGUUUCUUUUCUAAAUAAAACCCAAUUCUAGAA